Molecule: ribosomal RNA, 496 nt
Filed under: uncultured bacterium
Lineage: Bacteria
Description: partial 16S ribosomal RNA
Rfam family: Bacterial small subunit ribosomal RNA
Source: RNAcentral
AUUGAACGCUGGCGGAAUGCUUUACACAUGCAAGUCGAACGGUAGAGGGGGCAACCCCUCGAGAGUGGCGAACGGGUGAGUAAUAUAUCGGAACGUGCCAAGUCGUGGGGGAUAACGUAGCGAAAGUUACGCUAAUACCGCAUACGAUCUAAGGAUGAAAGCGGGGGAUCGCAAGACCUCGCGCGAUUGGAGCGGCCGACAGCAGACUAGGUAGUUGGUGGGGUAAAGGCUCACCAAGCCGACGAUCUGUAGCGGGUCUGAGAGGACGACCAGACGGUCGGGAACGGGGAAACGGUCCAUGCUCCUUGGGGAGGCAGCAGUGGGUAAUGUUGGACAAUGGACGCAAGGCUGAUCCAGCCAUUCCGCGUGCAGGAUGAAGGCCCUCGGGUUGUAAACUGCUUUUGUACGGAACGAAUAGGUCUCUCUUGAUACGGGGGGCUCAUGACGGUACCGUAAGAAUAAGCACCGGCUAACUACGUGCCAGCCGCGGCGGUAA